RNAcentral lists this ribosomal RNA (268 nucleotides) under uncultured eukaryote. RNAcentral's name for it is "partial small subunit ribosomal RNA". It matches the Rfam family "Eukaryotic small subunit ribosomal RNA", at positions 1161 to 1452 of the family's 1831-position model. The record is from RNAcentral.
AGGGCACCACCAGGCGUGGAGCCUGCGGCUUAAUUUGACUCAACACGGGGAAACUCACCAGGUCCAGACAAAAUAAGGAUUGACAGAUUGAGAGCUCUUUCUUGAUCUUUUGGAUGGUGGUGCAUGGCCGUUCUUAGUUGGUGGAGUGAUUUGUCUGCUUAAUUGCGAUAACGAACGAGACCUCGUCCCUUAAAUAGCCCGGUCCGCAUUUGCGGGCCGCUGGCUUCUUAGGGGGACUAUCGGCUUAAGCCGAUGGAAGUGCGCGGCA